GCUGGGCUGCUGACCGCACCUGGCCGGGAGCGAGAGCCUGCAAGGAGGCCGCUGUGGCGGCGGCAGAGGGGCAGGAACAUGGACCAAGCCUGGAGGACCGCGGAGGCCCGGCGGGUGCACCCCGCCGCCCAGUGAGUGAGCGAGCGCCCGGGCGGCACGCCCACCCCGAGCCAGCCACGCUGAGCCCGCGGAGAACCAGGCCAAGUCCAUCUGCCACUCAGAAGCCUUAUCUCCUCACCUUUCUGCUGAAGACUUUCCCAGGGCUCCCCAACACCCACUGGAUUCAGGUCAGCAUGCUUCCCUAGACUCUAGCAAGUCCCUCUUGCCUUGGCCUUCUGUUGGGGUUCCACCUCUGCCCACCAGCCUCUUACAAGC
RNAcentral lists this long non-coding RNA (375 nucleotides) under Heterocephalus glaber (naked mole-rat). RNAcentral's name for it is "lncRNA (ENSHGLG00000043907.1)". The record is from RNAcentral. Lineage: Eukaryota; Metazoa; Chordata; Mammalia; Rodentia; Bathyergidae.